This is a non-coding RNA of Struthio camelus australis, 1079 nucleotides long. NCBI's taxonomy places the organism in Eukaryota, Metazoa, Chordata, Aves, Struthioniformes, Struthionidae. The record is from RefSeq and is a predicted model, not a curated record.
CACACAGCGUGUCAGGCCUUUUUUUUUAAAAGUACGAAUGAUUUCUGAUGCGCAUCCGAAAUUGCUUUGCUUUCACCGGAGUUCCUAAUUUCAGGUCGUUUUCUUCUUUCUCUGGCCAGAAGAAGCAAGAGGCAGGACGGCAUCUCCUUAGGUCGUGCUUCUGUAGGACCUCUCACAGAGGAAGUGGACAGGGACAUUAGAUUGGGAAGGUCAUUCUGUCGUCUUCUCUCAAAGAUGAAAAGUAGAAGCUUCAAUGUUCAGGUUUAGCAGGAAAUUCUACUCUCAAACAUGCGUGGUUCUGCAAAUCUAAUUUAACUCCUGUCAUCCAUCAUCAGACCACAAGAUCAUGCACACAAACUAAGUAUGUCUUCAUUCUGUGCUGCUGAUCGAGAUUAUAACAUUCAGAUGCCUGGAAGAAAAGCACAUACUUAAGAUUUCUAAUUUACAGAUAAAAAUAGAGAUUUGCUACUAGUGAUCAUUGAAGUUAAGUACUGAGUCUGUUACCAUAUUGAAAUGAAAAUCAGCAGAUAGGCACAGCAAUUUAUAAUGAAAAUUUUAUUCCAGAUGAAGAUGAUGUCAUAUCAUGAGUAGUUAGGUAUUUAAUUUUUUACCUACGUAGAAAAAGUUGCUCUCUGCACUAAAGCAGCAUUUUGACCUUCUUAAAAAUGCCAGUAGCUUCAAAGUAGAAUGGUGCAAACAGCAUGCCUUAAGUGAAAGCCGGAUAACAUAAAACUAGCAAAUAACAUUUUAUUUAUACUGCUUAUAUGUUUUGCACAUCUCAGCUCAAGACAUGAAAACCAGUUAUAUCAUCAUUGCCAUUAUUUAAGAUGGCUUCCUUCAAGUCAGUUUCAACUUUAUCUGGGAUACCGAAAAAUCACUUUCAAAUACUUUCCAAUGCUACAGCAAAUAUAUACAAAACAUAUUUCUCUUGAAAUGUGUUUUUCAGACAUAUGGGACAUCUCAGUAAUUUAAUAAAGCUUGACCUUGUAACAUUUUUGCCUAAGCUUUAGCUAUUUAAAUAGUUUCAAUGUUCUGCAGUACAGUCUAACAAAGUUGCAACAGUAUAAUGUUCUAUUGGA